AAGAACCUACGGGGGGCAGCAGUGGGGGAUAUUGCACAAUGGAGGAAACUCUGAUGCAGCGACGCCGCGUGAGGGAAGACGGUCUUCGGAUUGUAAACCUCUGUCUUUGGGGACGAAAAUGACGGUACCCAAAGAGGAAGCUCCGGCUAACUACGUGCCAGCAGCCGCGGUAAUACGUAGGGAGCGAGCGUUGUCCGGACUUAUUGGGUGUAAAGGGAGCGUAGGCGGGCGAGAAAGUUGAAUGUUAAAUCUACCGGCUUAACUGGUAGCUGCGUUCAAAACUUCUUGUCCU
RNAcentral lists this ribosomal RNA (292 nucleotides) under uncultured bacterium. Its description in RNAcentral is "partial 16S ribosomal RNA". It matches the Rfam family "Bacterial small subunit ribosomal RNA", at positions 333 to 643 of the family's 1533-position model. The record is from RNAcentral.